RNAcentral lists this long non-coding RNA (915 nucleotides) under Nicotiana benthamiana. RNAcentral's name for it is "long non-coding RNA (NBEN_LNC040014)". The record is from RNAcentral. Lineage: Eukaryota; Viridiplantae; Streptophyta; Magnoliopsida; Solanales; Solanaceae.
AGAUAUUUGUAUUUUAUGGUCUUAAACGAUUGAAUCAACGAGCGAUGGAAGAGAAGAGAUAGAGAGAGGAAAAAACUUAGAGAAAUUGGUGAAGAUAAAGGUAAAGUUUUGAUUCAAAGGGGAAACAUGUAUUUACAGGUUCACGGCGAUGGUUCGGUGGCGCUAGAGGCCAACCGUCACUGGAAAGCAUUUAAUAUUUUGGGGAACCGAACCGACGGGACAUUUCGAUCACCUCAAAUGCUUAUGUCACGGGGAUGACAUCAUUAUCGGCGUCUCAACAUCGAGGCUUAAAUCGUUUCUUAUCAUUUUAUGCUAAGAAACGAGGGGACUAUCUGUAUAUGGUGGAAACUGGGGCUACCCGGUUUCAAUCUUCGAUGGAAAAAGUGAUUCCAUGUCGAAAAACUAGAACGUCGGGCUCGGGGUCGAAGUUCCUUUUCGAGCUCAUGGUCGAUAACAGUUACUGAGGUCAGAAGAAGGCAUGCUUCGAGAUGAUGCCGGUAUGAGUCAAUAACGGAAAGAGAACGAUACCCGCAACAAGUCCGAGAUCACAGUGUAAAUUUCGAAUGAAAACAGUUGUCAAAUAUAAUUUCCUACUAUAAUUGAAAGUGUACCUAUUUAGGACCCCCUAUUAUGGGAGGGGGGGGGGGAUCCCAUCCAUUUGUAAUGGAUUGAUCACUUCUCACUAAUAAUAAAAUAUACGUACAUUAUUCUCUUGCUUUUUGAGAUGUAAUUUUGAGUACAUAGAUUAUCAUAGGGUCAAAAUCAUUACGCUCUUGAAACUUGGCCUCAAAGUGAAGCUUUUACUUGUGAUUUGAGCAAUUAACAUUUGCCUUCUCUUUCUUGAUUGUUGGUUAUAUAUACAUUUUUCCUUUUACGGCAUCAUACAAAUUAAGAUCCAUUUAUCACUCACAAUCA